GAUGAACGCUGGCGGCGUGCCUAAUACAUGCAAGUCGAGCGAACAGACGAGGAGCUUGCUCCUCUGACGUUAGCGGCGGACGGGUGAGUAACACGUGGAUAACCUACCUAUAAGACUGGGAUAACUUCGGGAAACCGGAGCUAAUACCGGAUAAUAUAUUGAACCGCAUGGUUCAAUAGUGAAAGACGGUUUUGCUGUCACUUAUAGAUGGAUCCGCGCCGCAUUAGCUAGUUGGUAAGGUAAAGGCUUACCAAGGCAACGAUGCGUAGCCGACCUGAGUGGGUGAUCGCCCACACUGGAACUGAGACACGGUCCAGACUCCUACGGGAGGCAGCAGUAGGGAAUCUUCCGCAAUGGGCGAAAGCCUGACGGAGCAACGCCGCGUGAGUGAUGAAGGUCUUCGGAUCGUAAAACUCUGUUAUUAGGGAAGAACAAAUGUGUAAGUAACUAUGCACGUCUUGACGGUACCUAAUCAGAAAGCCACGGCUAACUACGUG
Molecule: ribosomal RNA, 497 nt
Filed under: uncultured bacterium
Lineage: Bacteria
Description: partial 16S ribosomal RNA
Rfam family: Bacterial small subunit ribosomal RNA
Source: RNAcentral